GGGUUCUGUCGUGGACAAUCAUUCNUCUAGGCGACGAAUUACUCCGUCGCUCAAGCAACCUACCCGAACUCUCGGCGGGCCACCGANUGAGUUCCUAUUUGGUCUUGCUACGAGUGGAGUUUACCUUGCUGCC
Molecule: unclassified non-coding RNA, 133 nt
Filed under: Pasteurellaceae bacterium I24
Lineage: Bacteria; Pseudomonadati; Pseudomonadota; Gammaproteobacteria; Pasteurellales; Pasteurellaceae
Description: partial RNaseP
Source: RNAcentral